RNAcentral lists this ribosomal RNA (253 nucleotides) under uncultured bacterium. Its description in RNAcentral is "partial 16S ribosomal RNA". It matches the Rfam family "Bacterial small subunit ribosomal RNA", at positions 524 to 776 of the family's 1533-position model. The record is from RNAcentral.
UACGUAGGGUGCGAGCGUUAAUCGGAAUUACUGGGCGUAAAGCGUGCGCAGGCGGUUUUGUAAGCCAGAUGUGAAAGCCCCGGGCUUAACCUGGGAAUGGCAUUUGGGACUGCAAGGCUGGAGUGCGGCAGAGGAGACUGGAAUUCCUGGUGUAGCAGUGAAAUGCGUAGAUAUCAGGAGGAACACCGAUGGCGAAGGCAGCUCGCUGGGACGGUACUGACGCUGAGGCGCGAAAGCGUGGGGAGCAAACAGG